This is a non-coding RNA of Paramuricea clavata, 73 nucleotides long. The record is from the annotation of a GenBank genome assembly. NCBI's taxonomy places the organism in Eukaryota, Metazoa, Cnidaria, Anthozoa, Malacalcyonacea, Plexauridae.
GACCGCGUAGCUCAGUUGGAAGAGCAUUGGGCUAGUAUUCCAAAGGUCGUAGGUUCGAAUCCUACCCUGGCCG